Molecule: ribosomal RNA, 358 nt
Filed under: uncultured eukaryote
Lineage: Eukaryota
Description: SSU rRNA
Rfam family: Eukaryotic small subunit ribosomal RNA
Source: RNAcentral
AGCUCCAAUAGCGUAUAUUAAAGUUGUUGCAGUUAAAAAGCUCGUAGUUGAACCUUGGCCGUGGCUGGCCAGUAGACCUUUUGGUCUCACUGGUUGGCUUGGCCUUUUCGAGGGACUUGCGGCGCAAGCCGCAAGGCAACUCGUGCUACUGUGAAGAAAUCAGAGUGUUUAAAGCAGGCGUACGCUUGAAUACAUCAGCAUGGAAUAGCUUGAAGGACUUGGGCCUUCUUGUUGGUUGGGGCUUUGGGUAAUGAUUAAUAGGGCCAGUUGGGGGCAUUAGUAUUCAGUAGUCAGAGGUGAAAUUCUUGGAUUUACUGAAGACUAACUAGUGCGAAAGCAUUUGCCAAGGAUGUUUUCA